ACACGACUACAUUAGAUACCCCGUGUAGUCCUAGCCGUAAACGAUACUCGCUAGGUGUCGGCCACGGUGCGACCGUUGUCGGUGCCGUAGGGAAGCCGUGAAGCGAGCCACCUGGGAAGUACGGCCGCAAGGCUGAAACUUAAAGGAAUUGGCGGGGGAGCACCGCAACGGGAGGAGCGUGCGGUUCAAUUGGAUUCAACGCCGGACAACUCACCAGGAGCGACGGUUACAUGAAGGCCAGGCUGAUGACCUUGCCUGAUUUUCCG
RNAcentral lists this ribosomal RNA (266 nucleotides) under uncultured archaeon. Its description in RNAcentral is "partial 16S ribosomal RNA". It matches the Rfam family "Archaeal small subunit ribosomal RNA", at positions 719 to 982 of the family's 1478-position model. The record is from RNAcentral.